UACAGAGGGUGCGAGCGUUGUUCGGAAUUAUUGGGCGUAAAGCGCUUGUAGGCGGCACGUCAAGUCGCGUGUGAAAUCCCCAGGCUUAACCUGGGAAGUGCGCGCGAAACUGACGAGCUUGAGUGCCGGAGAGGGUCGCGGAAUUCCCGGUGUAGAGGUGAAAUUCGUAGAUAUCGGGAGGAACACCAGUGGCGAAGGCGGCGACCUGGACGGACACUGACGCUGAGACGCGAAAGCGUGGGGAGCAAAACAGGAUUGAGAUACCCGUAGU
This 271-nucleotide ribosomal RNA is filed under the name uncultured bacterium. RNAcentral's name for it is "partial 16S ribosomal RNA". It matches the Rfam family "Bacterial small subunit ribosomal RNA", at positions 524 to 794 of the family's 1533-position model. The record is from RNAcentral.